Herbaspirillum sp. CF444 is the source of this 179-nucleotide non-coding RNA. The record is from Rfam. Lineage: Bacteria; Pseudomonadati; Pseudomonadota; Betaproteobacteria; Burkholderiales; Oxalobacteraceae.
AGUCUCCUGCCGUGUUCGCGAAUGCUUAUAUUCCUUGAACCAUUUAUGCGCACAGGCUGUGGGAUUUUGUUUGGUGGGCGUGAGCGUCGCUAGUCCGAUGAACCCGAAAUUAAACUAACUGCAGCCAACUUGAACCGUUUGGUUCAGGAUGCCGGCAUAGCGGCACAGGCGGGACUAGA